CCGUAACAAAAGGAUUGCGUUGAUAGUGGUAUCCUGAGUACCGCGAGGUCGGAGACGCCUUGUGGGAAUCUGCCGGCACCAUCCGGUAAGGCUAAAUACUCUCAAGAGACCGAUAGUGAACCAGUACUGUGAAGGAAAGGUGAAAAGAAACCGCGAACAGCGGAGUGAAAUAGACCCUGAAACCAUGCGCUUACAAGCGGUCGGAGUCCUUCGGGAUGACGGCGUGCCUUUUGCAUAAUGAGCCUACGAGUUACUCCUCACUGGCGAGGUUAACCCCGUAAACGGGGGGAGCCGCAGCGAAAGCAAGUCUGAAUAGGGCGUAUAGUCAGUGGGGGUAGACGCGAAACCUUGUGAUCUACCCAUGACCAGGAUGAAGUGGCGGUAACACGCCAUGGAGGUCCGAACUGGUGGGCGUUGAAAAGCCCUCGGAUGAGUUGUGGGUAGGGGUGAAAGGCUAAUCAAACUGGGAAAUAGCUCGUACUCCCCGAAAUGUUUUUAGGAACAGCCUCGUGGUAAAGUGUCGCAGAG
Molecule: ribosomal RNA, 528 nt
Filed under: uncultured bacterium
Lineage: Bacteria
Description: bacterial LSU rRNA
Rfam family: Bacterial large subunit ribosomal RNA
Source: RNAcentral